AGGAUGACGAAGGCAAACUACAGUGGUUCUUCGUGACUUGAUGCGCAGUGGAUUCCAGCAGUGUGAACUCUUCAUUCCUUGAAAUGGGAGUUUGAUCCAGAACUGUAGAUGCAGAAGCAGGGAUUUGAUGCUACUCGUAUAGAAGGUCUAACAGCUUGUGACCAUCUGAGGCUGGCUGUGGAAGUUGGAGUGUUGGACUUGCAUAUUGGGCCUAUCUUCUGUUGCUACUCGAGUAUUUCAUCCACAGUAAAAUGUGUGUGACUGGUUUUGAAUGUCUUCACAAGCAGAUUGUUUGGGUUCCCUGGCUGCUAGACCCUCCUACCUGUCACUGAGAAUUUAACCUCUGGGAGGUAGACAGUUGUGUUAAUUUGAUGUGAGAAUAAAAGAAUAAAAUGUUGAUAAUU
Long non-coding RNA from Penaeus monodon (black tiger shrimp), 404 nucleotides. RefSeq lists it as uncharacterized. The record is from RefSeq and is a predicted model, not a curated record. The transcript is spliced from 3 exons. NCBI's taxonomy places the organism in Eukaryota, Metazoa, Arthropoda, Malacostraca, Decapoda, Penaeidae.